UCUCAGUCACACCAUGUGUGCUUCUACUGUUCCGGAGCCACAUGGAGCUGAUGGCUGAUGAAUUGAACAGCACAGCUCCAGAACAUUUCCGUCCUCACAGAAAGUUCUAGAGCUUGAUCUGGACAGUGGCUAUAUAGGUGUGUGCAUUGGUCAAAACUCAUUGAGCUGAGUACUCAUACCUCUAUUAAAAACAUACCUUUUGAAAGCACAGACUCAGAUCUUCACCCAUCACUUGCUUCAUACCUUUGAUUUAAGCUCUUUCUGGCCCCCGCUCGCUACCUGUGUAACAGGGUGAAGACAGUACCUCUUUUUCCUUGUGUUAGGGAACUUGGCCAGAAUUGCACAGUGAGCCCUUGAGAAGUUUCCACCCUGGGGAUGGCAUGGAGCUGCAACACAGGCAGCUUUGGCUGCCCUCGGGGACUCGGCCUCGGCUCAUGGAUAGUUCCCUGUUUUAGAGGCAGGGGUCUGAGACCCAGCCUCCAAGCAUCAAAUCAGAGGGCUGCUUCCUAUGGAGCCCGAGCUCAGUGACCCCCUGCCUAGCCUGGGAGCCAGGACAGGAUGGAGGAUGUAGAGGUGGUAUGGCUUCUGGCAGCAGGGACACCAUGAAGUGUUCCCAUGUUCUGCUUCGUUUCACAAAGACUUUCUAAGAUACAGUGUCAUCCGUCCUCCUGGGAGCCUGUCCUUUUUGUACCCAGGAAGAAAUAGGCCCAGAGGAGGGAUAUGGCCAGUUAGUGGCACACAGUGGAGCUGCAUGUCCAAGGCUUCCUACUCCAAGUAUUUGUCAUCCUCUGGGUCACCCUGGAUGGUCACCAUCUGUCUAUGUGGACACAGCCUUAUCCACAGACUCACUAUCUUGGCUGGUCAUGGGUGGGAACAAGAAUGGGGAUGCUUCCAUGACAAAGCUCAACUCAAACAAACAUCUUACCCCCUCGAUGCCUCCGUUUCCUUCCUGUAAAAUGGGUCUGGUACUGUUGAUUCUAUCUAUCCCUCACAGGGACAGAAUGAGGAUCAAGCAAGCGGAUGUAAAAUGCCCACAUCAUGACUGGCACGUAGUAAAUGUUGGGGGCUGUGGUUCUACCAAGCCCUGGAGGAUAAGCAGGAGGGAGCAGACCCAGGCUCUUCCUUCUCAGGGGCGCAUCAAGGAAUACAAGCCCAAGGCCCAAGAUACUGCAUUCCCAGCAGAUGCCUUCCACGUGAGUCUCCGAAAAUGCCAGCAGUCUCAGCAGGCAUCCUCCUUGCUAACUUUGCUUCUGUGCUGCUUUGACCCCUCAGCUCCGGAAUGGAGCCACAGCCCCCAAGGAGCAGGAGUCCUGGGGCAGAUCCUCUUCCUCUGCCCUGGCCACUCUUCCUCCUCUUCCUCUUCCUUUUCCCUUCAUUCCAGGGUGGGGCUUAGUGACCCUGUCAAUCUACGGCACCUUGGAGGAAGUCCCAUUCCUGGACCGAUCUGGGACACAGGCUCUUUAUGGUCACUCUGUUUAUCAGCCAAUAUUGAGGAAAAGGACAGAGCAGGGCCUGGCAUUUGCAGACACCUGGAAGAUAUUAAUGGGCAAAUGAGUGAAUGGUGGCACUGAGCUGCAUUUAGAAAGGUGGUUGGGGGCCUUGUGUGUUAAUGGUAAAUAGUUACUCUGAGGGGCACCUAGGUGGCACAGCGGUUAAGCGUCUGCCUUCGGCUCAGGGCGUGAUCCCGGCGUUAUGGGAUCGAGCCCCACAUCAGGCUCCUCUGUUGUGA
Molecule: long non-coding RNA, 1729 nt
Filed under: Ursus maritimus (polar bear)
Lineage: Eukaryota; Metazoa; Chordata; Mammalia; Carnivora; Ursidae
Description: lncRNA (ENSUMAG00000003957.1)
Source: RNAcentral